GAUUAUUUUUAAUUUUUGAGAAUCUUCUUCUUCGAGAUUUGUCAAGAUAAAUUUUGAUGGCAGUGUCGGAAAUGAUCGAGACGGUGUAGAUUUUAUCAUCCGGAGCCUAUAUUGUAGGUUGCUAGUAGAGGGGAAGGGACUCUUUUUUUUGAACCUUCAGUCUCGCGAGCUAAGCUUCAUAUUGCUUGAACGGGUGUUAUUUAUACCAGACAAAAAUUACGGAU
Molecule: long non-coding RNA, 224 nt
Filed under: Elaeis guineensis (African oil palm)
Lineage: Eukaryota; Viridiplantae; Streptophyta; Magnoliopsida; Arecales; Arecaceae
Description: long non-coding RNA (EGUI_LNC000101)
Source: RNAcentral